CUUCUUCUACUUACAACUGAACAAGAUUUGUGCAGAUGAAACUGGUGGUCUGACAGGACAAUCCUGCUGCUUCACUGCUGUUUGACUGUGAUGUUUACCACACUCUUCCUGAGCAUCGCAUUAAGACCACAGGAGGGUUAAGUUGCAGUCUCGCACAUCUUUCAUAUUCAGGGCUCAUGAGAAUCCACCCACAGCCCUUUAAUCAGAGCUCGCUUCUCCACAUCUCUGCUUCACGCCUGUGUUUUUCCAAAUGUCACUUGUCUUGACACCAGUUGAGGCUGCAUAUUGGAUCAGAUGCAUCACCAAAGAAAUUAUCUGCGAGAUUUAAUUCAGAACUUCAUCAGCACAGUCCUCCACCCUCCACCAAAAAUUACAUAUUGUGGC
Xiphophorus couchianus (Monterrey platyfish) is the source of this 384-nucleotide long non-coding RNA. RefSeq lists it as uncharacterized. Lineage: Eukaryota; Metazoa; Chordata; Actinopteri; Cyprinodontiformes; Poeciliidae. The record is from RefSeq and is a predicted model, not a curated record. The transcript is spliced from 3 exons.